GAGAACAGAAUCCAGGAAGGGAGGAAAUGGAUAGGGGACAGGACAGGACCUCAGGAAAGGAAGUAACAGACAAGGUACAAGGAAGUAAGGAAAUCACGUAAUUAGACCAUGGCCGCAGACACUGGCGGCAUUUGGCGCCCGGACAGGGACCUGAAAGGAAGGCUUCCCCCGUCAGAGUGGCCCGGGACAAGGUGGGCUCUUUGGCCAACAGUCCUAGAAAAGGAGCUCCGGUCGUCAAGAGAAGAAGGCUAACAAGAACAUGCAGGAGAACCAGUCUGGGUUCCCAAGAGGAACAUCCGCACCUGUCAGCGUACUGACCGGAGGGAUAGAGACCCUGAGCAUCA
Molecule: non-coding RNA, 344 nt
Organism: Phascolarctos cinereus (koala)
Lineage: Eukaryota; Metazoa; Chordata; Mammalia; Diprotodontia; Phascolarctidae
Source: RefSeq, a predicted model, not a curated record